UACGUAAGUGGCGAGCGUUAUCCGGAAUUACUGGGUGUAAAGGGUGUGUAGGCGGCUUUUUAAGUCCUGUGUUAAAUCCCACGGCUCAACUGUGGGCUUGCGCGGGAAACUGGAAGGCUUGAGUAGAGGAGAGGUAACUGGAAUUCCUAGUGUAGCGGUGAAAUGUGUAGAUAUUAGGAAGAACACCAGUGGCGAAGGCGGGUUACUGGCCUCUUACUGACGCUGAGACACGAAAGCCGGGGGAGCAAACAGG
Molecule: ribosomal RNA, 253 nt
Filed under: uncultured bacterium
Lineage: Bacteria
Description: partial 16S ribosomal RNA
Rfam family: Bacterial small subunit ribosomal RNA
Source: RNAcentral